RNAcentral lists this ribosomal RNA (1050 nucleotides) under Triticum aestivum (bread wheat). Its description in RNAcentral is "partial small subunit ribosomal RNA". Lineage: Eukaryota; Viridiplantae; Streptophyta; Magnoliopsida; Poales; Poaceae. The record is from RNAcentral.
AUGGCUGGUCCUACGUUGAUGCACUGCCUGCUCGCCGUCUCUCUCCUCUCCUCCGUUGCCCACGCGCAGCUCUCGACGACUUUCUACUCCAGAUCCUGCCCGAGUAUGGAGAACACCGUGUGGGCGGUGAUGAAACACGCCGUCGUCAAGGACCGGCGGAUGGGCGCGUCGCUUCUGAGGCUCUUCUUCCACGACUGCUUCGUCCAGGUGAUGUCUCAUGACUCGUCGCACUUGACUAUACAGUCUAUAACUGAGUAUACGAAUAACGUAGUAUCUCACAGUUCGCAUGAUAAUUCUGACAUGCAUGUACUGCAGGGCUGUGACGGCUCGGUUCUUCUAGACGCUGGCAGCGAGAAGGCCGCCGGCCCGAACGCCAACUCCCUGCGCGGCUUCGAGGUCAUCGACGCCAUCAAGGCGCGCGUGGAGGCCGCGUGCCCCGGCGUCGUCUCCUGCGCCGACAUCCUCGCGCUCGCGGCGCGCGACGGAACGUUCCUGCUCCACGGGCCGACCUGGGCAGUGCCGCUCGGCCGGCGCGACUCGACGACGGCGAGCCAGUCCCUCGCCAACUUUAACCUUCCCUCGGUGAACUCCAGCCUCGCCACGCUCAUCUCCAUGUUCGCGAGGCAAGGGCUCUCGCCGACCGACAUGACGGCGCUGUCCGGCGCGCACACCGUCGGGCAGGCACGCUGCACCACCUUCCGCGACCGCAUCUACGGCAACUCCAACAUGGACGCGACCUUCGCGAGGCGGCAGCAGCGGACCUGCCCCCUCUCCGGCGGGGAAAACAACCUGGCGCCCUUGGACGCGCAGACCCCGAGGGCGUUCGACAACGCCUACUACCAGAACCUCAUGGCGCACCGCGGCCUGUUCCGCUCCGACCAGGAGCUCUUCAGCGGAGGGUCGCAGGACGCGCUGGUGCGGCAGUACAGCGCCAACCCCGCGCUCUUCCGGAGCGACUUCGUCAAGGCGAUGGUGAAGAUGGGCAACAUUAAUCCUCUCACCGGCACCGCCGGCCAGAUCAGGAGAAACUGCAGAUUCGUCAACAGCUAG